This is a non-coding RNA of Schistosoma margrebowiei, 46 nucleotides long. NCBI's taxonomy places the organism in Eukaryota, Metazoa, Platyhelminthes, Trematoda, Strigeidida, Schistosomatidae. The record is from Rfam.
GCACUACUGAGGAGUCCCAGAACAAAAGGAAACGGCCGUCUAGUGU